RNAcentral lists this unclassified non-coding RNA (205 nucleotides) under Hevea brasiliensis (rubber tree). Lineage: Eukaryota; Viridiplantae; Streptophyta; Magnoliopsida; Malpighiales; Euphorbiaceae. The record is from RNAcentral.
CGGCGGCGGGGUAUCAGUCGGAGACUCAUCGGACGGCAAUGGCUUGAAAGACGGGGAACCGGAAUUCGACAGCAGAGGGUGCCGCAGCCCGACAAAUGUUAGCACCUGCGACAGCGAAGGCGUCCCCCGCAGGAUCUGCGAGAAUAUCUGGACAAGAAACCCUAGCCAGCUCAUCACCGCCCGCCACGCCUGCGCCAUCGCCCUG